AACCGGAUUAGAUACCCGGGUAGUCCACGCCCUAAACGAUGUGCACUAGACUGGAGCGGCUCUGACGUCGUUCUGGUCGUAGAGAAAUUGUUAAGUGCACCGCCUGGGUAGUACGGUCGCAAGGCUAAAACUCAAAGGAAUUGACGGGGGCUCACACAAGCGGUGGAGCAUGUUGCUUAAUUCGAAGCAACGCGAAGAACCUUACCUGGGUUUGACAUGCACGGAUUAACCGGUGGAAACACUGGCCACACUCGCAAGAGUGGAACGUGCACAGGUGCUGCAUGGCUGUCGUCAGCUCGUGCUGUGAAGUGUCGGGUUAAGUCCCUUAACGAGCGCAACCCUUGUCGCUAGUUGCUAACAGGUAAUGCUGAGGACUCUAGCGAGACUGCCGGUGUCAAACCGGAGGAAGGUGGGGAUGACGUCAAGUCCUCAUGGCCCUUACAUCCAGGGUUGCAAACGUGCUACAAUGGUGCAUACAGAGCGACGCAAGACCGCAAGGUGGAGCAAAUCGCAAAAAAUGCACCCCAGUUCGGAUUGCAGGCUGCAACUCGCCUGCAUGAAGCCGGAAUCGCUAGUAAUCGGAGAUCAGCUACGCUCCGGUGAAUAAGUUCCUGAGCCUUGUACACACCGCCCGUCAAGUCAUGGGAGCCGGUAGUGCCCGAAGUCGCCACAUUACUGUGGUGCCCACGGCAAGAUCGGUGACUGGGACUAAGUCGUAACAAGGUAACC
RNAcentral lists this ribosomal RNA (729 nucleotides) under uncultured Planctomycetota bacterium. RNAcentral describes it as "bacterial SSU rRNA". It matches the Rfam family "Bacterial small subunit ribosomal RNA", at positions 771 to 1501 of the family's 1533-position model. Lineage: Bacteria; Pseudomonadati; Planctomycetota. The record is from RNAcentral.